RNAcentral lists this ribosomal RNA (253 nucleotides) under uncultured bacterium. Its description in RNAcentral is "partial 16S ribosomal RNA". It matches the Rfam family "Bacterial small subunit ribosomal RNA", at positions 524 to 776 of the family's 1533-position model. The record is from RNAcentral.
UACGUAGGGUGCAAGCGUUAAUCGGAAUUACUGGGCGUAAAGCGUGCGCAGGCGGCUAUGUAAGACAGGUGUGAAAUGCCCGGGCUUAACCUGGGAACUGCAUUUGUGACUGCAUGGCUAGAGUUUGGCAGAGGGGGGUAGAAUUCCACGUGUAGCAGUGAAAUGCGUAGAUAUGUGGAGGAACACCGAUGGCGAAGGCAGCCCCCUGGGUCAAGACUGACGCUCAUGCACGAAAGCGUGGGGAGCAAACAGG